This is a non-coding RNA of Vicia faba (fava bean), 318 nucleotides long. The record is from the annotation of a GenBank genome assembly. Lineage: Eukaryota; Viridiplantae; Streptophyta; Magnoliopsida; Fabales; Fabaceae.
AUGCACCCAAUCUUGAAUAUUUCUCAAAGAUCAAGCCCAAACCUUCAUCGACCUAGAAUUUACAGAAUUCAAAUUCUGGAUGCAAUGACAAUCGUUAGCAUGCGGAUGGGCCAACCGUCACACUUCUAUGCCUUGACGGGUGUCAACUAUAUGAAGGUUUUUCCGCCAUGCUUCCCAAACCCUGGUGGGCAUCAUUCAGUGUUUACUUGUGACUCCUUGAACUAUUUCCAUGUGACUACCAUCAUGUCCAUGACUGCGAAACCGUCACCCUAUUUGGAUGAUCGAUCUAUAGCUAAAGGUAAAAGAAAGAUGGCUUGA